Molecule: ribosomal RNA, 545 nt
Filed under: uncultured bacterium
Lineage: Bacteria
Description: bacterial SSU rRNA
Rfam family: Bacterial small subunit ribosomal RNA
Source: RNAcentral
CACCUACGGGAGGCUGCAGUGGGGAAUUUUGGACAAUGGGGGCAACCCUGAUCCAGCCAUGCCGCGUGAGUGAAGAAGGCCUUCGGGUUGUAAAGCUCUUUCGGCCGGGAAGAAAUCGUGCGGGCUAAUACCCUGUAUGGAUGACGGUACCGGAAGAAGAAGCACCGGCUAACUACGUGCCAGCAGCCGCGGUAAUACGUAGGGUGCGAGCGUUAAUCGGAAUUACUGGGCGUAAAGCGUGCGCAGGCGGUUUCGUAAGACAGAUGUGAAAUCCCCGGGCUUAACCUGGGAACUGCGUUUGUGACUGCGAGACUUGAGUGCGGCAGAGGGGGGUGGAAUUCCACGUGUAGCAGUGAAAUGCGUAGAGAUGUGGAGGAACACCGAUGGCGAAGGCAGCCCCCUGGGUCGACACUGACGCUCAUGCACGAAAGCGUGGGGAGCAAACAGGAUUAGAUACCCUGGUAGUCCACGCCCUAAACGAUGCGAACUAGGUGUUGGGGAAGGAGACUUCUUUAGUACCGUAGCUAACGCGUGAAGUCGCCGCC